GUGCCAGGCAGCGGGGGUAAUUCGGGAGGGUGCAAGGGUUAUUCGGAAUUACUGGGGGUAAAGCGCACGCAGGGCGGUUGUUAAGUCAGAUGUGAAAUCCCCGGGCUCAACCUGGGAACUGCAUCUGAUACUGGCAAGCUUGAGUCUGGUAGAGGGGGGUAGAAUUCCAGGUGUAGCGGUGAAAUGCGUAGAGAUCUGGAGGAAUACCGGUGGCGAAGGCGGCCCCCUGGACGAAGACUGACGCUCAGGUGCGAAAGCGUGGGGAGCAAACAGGAUUAGAUACCCUAGUAGUCC
This 294-nucleotide ribosomal RNA is filed under the name uncultured microorganism. RNAcentral's name for it is "partial 16S ribosomal RNA". It matches the Rfam family "Bacterial small subunit ribosomal RNA", at positions 505 to 796 of the family's 1533-position model. The record is from RNAcentral.